Long non-coding RNA from Homo sapiens (human), 962 nucleotides. RefSeq annotates it as long independently transcribed non-coding RNA 2422. The record is from RefSeq and is marked validated. NCBI's taxonomy places the organism in Eukaryota, Metazoa, Chordata, Mammalia, Primates, Hominidae. The transcript has 2 exons.
UUUUCAACUCAAGGCAUCUGAGUUCCUCCUCAUCAAGUCAAGGGAAGUCGCAAAACCAGACGGAAUUCAAGGGAAGGAAACCGACUCCGCCUCUGAUGGCUGCAACAGUAUGCACAUUCAGGGAGGAAAGGAAUUAGCAGUGGUCAUCUUUCUGGACCAUCUACCACAGUGGCUAAAGUUAACACCUAGAAAGGAAGGUCGUGUUUUCAGCUUCUUUGACUGCUGCUCCAGGUGUCAAACCCUGAAGGGUGAGCUGACGCUAAAGACUGAGUGGUUAUUUUUUCCAGAAGAGGAGAAAGAUUGAAAAUGUGGCCGGCCGAUUCUCCCUGAUGAUCACACAGACAGACCUGCAUGACAGUCAAACAGACAGGCCUGCAUAGCACCCCAGUUACACAGACGAAUUUCCCCAGAGCUGCCUUAACAUUGAGCAAAUAGUUAAACCUAGGGAAAUUGGUGCCCAGACAGCAAAGCUAGAAAUGAAACAUAUGGUCAGUAGGAGCCUUGCGUGGGCUUCUCCCUAACCUGGAGCAAACCAAAAUAAUAGAGACAGUCUUUCAUUCCUAGUGCCAGGACCCGUCUCGGGUCAACGAAAUCUGAGACAGUCAAGGUAACAGAGGCAGCUGUUCGAAUAGAUUCAUUGGAGAGUCUAAGGCAGCCCUCCAGACCAAGCUGUAAAGCAGAUAAGAUAGAAAUAAUCACUCUGGUACCACAGUAGACAGGCCUUGUAGGUACUGGGCCGCUCACAGCUUAAUCCGACUUAGAAAGCAUUUUUGCCUCUGACCUUCUAGUUGAAACAAAAUUAGUUACCAGUAGACUUAGGCAAAUGCUACACUGCACACAGGCGCAUAACCCCAACCUAUAUAAACACUAAGACAAUUGUUGACACUUUGAGUUGGCCUGGUGGAAUUAUCUCCAGCCUUCUGCCUGUAUCUGGUUACAGCAAUAAAUUCCCUUCUUUCCUA